Molecule: ribosomal RNA, 508 nt
Filed under: uncultured bacterium
Lineage: Bacteria
Description: partial 16S ribosomal RNA
Rfam family: Bacterial small subunit ribosomal RNA
Source: RNAcentral
GAUGAACGCUAGCUACAGGCUUAACACAUGCAGGUCGAGGGGAAACGAUAGAGAAAGCUUGCUUUUUCUAGGCGUCGACCGGCGCACGGGCGAGUAACGCGUAUCCAACCUGCCCACCACUUGGGGAUAACCUUGCGAAAGUAAGACUAAUACCCAAUGAUAUCUCAAGAAGACAUCUGAAUGAGAUUAGAGAUUUAUCGGUGAUGGAUGGGGAUGAGUCUGAUUAGCUUGUUGGCGGGGUAACGGCCCACCAAGGCGACGAUCAGUAGGGGUUCUGAGAGGAAGGUCCCCCACAUUGGAACUGAGACACGGUCCAAACUCCUACGGGAGGCAGCAGUGAGGAAUAUUGGUCAAUGGGCGAGAGCCUGAACCAGCCAAGUAGCGUGCAGGAUGACGGCCCUAUGGGUUGUAAACUGCUUUUAUAAGGGAAUAAAGUGAGUCUCGUGAGGCUUUUUGCAUGUACCUUAUGAAUAAGGACCGGCUAAUUCCGUGCCAGCCGCCGCCGUAA